RNAcentral lists this long non-coding RNA (1741 nucleotides) under Oryctolagus cuniculus (rabbit). Its description in RNAcentral is "lncRNA (ENSOCUG00000030009.1)". Lineage: Eukaryota; Metazoa; Chordata; Mammalia; Lagomorpha; Leporidae. The record is from RNAcentral.
CACGCUUAUUCAGUCGUUCCGCGAACGUUUACGCGUGGAACUUGUCACGCGAGCCGGCCCGUCCUUCCGGGCCGGAGGUCCCGCCCCCGGAAGUCCCUGGCCGCCGCGGGCCCGCCACUCAGGGAGGCGCAUGCGUCCUUGCGUUCGGGGCGGGGACGCCGAGGGAGGCUGUCCGGCGCCCUGGGGCCGGCGGCGUCGCGCGUUCCCGCCCUCGGUCCGCCCGCUGAGGCCGGCGCCGUCUGCCCUUCCCCUGCGCGCCGGCGAGCUGGGGCGUCCGCUCUCGGUGCCUGAGCCUCGAGUCCUCGCGGGGCCCGCGCAGCCCGGGGAGGAGACCUCGCUCCCAGCACAGUUCUUCCAGAGUCGUGGGCGCCUGUGCAACACGGUGGUUGGUGAAUGAGUGUAAGAAGAUAGGGGCCUGAAUGAACACGGUAUCACAGGAAAUAGCCUGAGGAAGAUGGCCUGAGGAGCUAAACCCUUUGCGAGCUAGCCAUGGGUGUGUGAUAGAGCUACCUGGGGAGGAGGGACCCAGGGAAUACUGUGAGUGAGUACACCAGCAACCUUAGGGUUUUUUUUUUUUUUUUAAGUUUUAUUUUAUUUAUUUGAAAGGCAGAGUUACAGAGAGACAGAGAAGACACAAAGAUCUUCCAUCUGCUGGUUCACUCCCCAAAUGGCCAUAACAGCUAGGGCUGGGCCAGACCAAAGCCAGGAGCCAGGAGCUUCUUCCAGGUCUGCCACGUGGGUGCAGGGGCCCGAGGACUUGGGCCAUCUUCUCUUUCUUUACUAGGUGCGUUAGCAGGGAGCUGGAUUGGAAGUAAAGCAGCCAGGUCUUGAACCAGCGCCCCUGUGGGAUGCCAGCAUUGCAGAUGGAGGCUUAACCUACUACGCCACAACCUGGGCCCCCAGCCCUAGGAUUGUUAAAAAAAAUUGUGGUAGCUGCCCACUGUGCAGGAACGGUGUCUGUGGACACUGUACGCCUCAGUGGGACCCUUGGCUUUUCCUGGCCCUGGUGAUGCCAGCCAGGGAGGUCUGGUUCUGAGGAUCUAAAUGCUCCGUCCCAGUGAGGGAGCCUGGAGAAGCUGCCUCGUGUCAGGCCGUCUGUGGAAGCCCACUCGUCCCGGAGUCAGAUGCUUGCCAUCAACGCAGAGCUACACACUUUCCCGACACUGACUUCCCGUUUCACAGGCUUGUGAAAGCCGGACUAGCGAGGAGACAACUGCCUGCAGUGAAACUUAAAGUGGCGCUCGUCUUCACAGCUCGUGCUGAGAAUUGAUCAGGUCUGACUGUCGCACAGGCCCAGGCAGUCUCCCGAGAGAGAUACAGCCACGAGCAACAGACCAGAAAGCAGAAAAUGAGAAGAAAGUUGAACCACUCACUUUGACUGUUUGAGUCUGUCUUUAAAAUGAGGCAACACUGCUUGAAACAAGUGAAUGGGUUGAAAUUCUUAGAUUGUGAUCUUUAUUCAUACUUUCGUUGGAAAUAAUUGGGCUACAUGAUAGAAUUUUGUAAUUUUAGAUAAAUGUUUACAUAUGUACAUAUAUAUGUAACUGUAUACCGCAGAGAUUAAAUUGGAGGGUGAUUAGUUGUGGGGAGCAAUCCGGACUAGACUGAGUUACUGGAAUUAAGACUUAUUCUAUGCAUCUGCUCUCCCACAAUAUGGCGCUGGGAGAGAAGUAAACAGCUUCUACACAGGUGCCUCCAGUUCAACCAAUAAACUGUAGGACUUGCUCCUGAUUGGAGAGCA